This 200-nucleotide unclassified non-coding RNA is filed under the name Talaromyces sp. RNAcentral's name for it is "partial internal transcribed spacer 2". The record is from RNAcentral. Lineage: Eukaryota; Fungi; Ascomycota; Eurotiomycetes; Eurotiales; Trichocomaceae.
UUAAGUUCAGCGGGUAACUCCUACCUGAUCCGAGGUCAACCGUGGUAAAAUGUGGUGGUGACCAACCCCCGCAGGUCCUUCCCGAGCGAGUGACAAAGCCCCAUACGCUCGAGGACCAGACGGACGUCGCCGCUGCCUUUCGGGCAGUCCCCGGGGGGACCACACCCAACACACAAGCCGUGCUUGAGGGCAGAAAUGAC